UGGUGGGUUGCCUUGUCAGGUUGAUUCCGGUAACGAACGAGACCUCAGCUUGCUAAAUAGUCACGGUCACCUUAGGGUGUCCGGCCGACUUCUUAGAGGGACUAUUGUCGUUUAGGCAAUGGAAGUAUGAGGCAAUAACA
RNAcentral lists this ribosomal RNA (140 nucleotides) under uncultured eukaryote. Its description in RNAcentral is "partial 18S ribosomal RNA". It matches the Rfam family "Eukaryotic small subunit ribosomal RNA", at positions 1299 to 1458 of the family's 1831-position model. The record is from RNAcentral.